This 468-nucleotide ribosomal RNA is filed under the name uncultured bacterium. RNAcentral's name for it is "partial 16S ribosomal RNA". It matches the Rfam family "Bacterial small subunit ribosomal RNA", at positions 28 to 507 of the family's 1533-position model. The record is from RNAcentral.
GAUGAACGCUGGCGGCGUGCUUAACACAUGCAAGUCGAACGGAAAGGCCCUGCUUUUGUUCGGUGCUCGAGUGGCGAACGGGUGAGUAACACGUGAGUAACCUGCCCUUGACUUUGUGAUAACUUUUGGAAACUGGGGCUAAUACCGGAUAUGAGAUCCUGCUGCAUGGUGUUGGUUGGAGAGUUUCGGCGGUUGGGGAUGGACUCGCGGCUUAUCCGCUUGUUGGUCGGGUAGUGGCGUACAAAGGCUUUGACGGCUAGCCGGCCUGAGAGGGUUACCGGCCACAUUGGGACUGAGAUACGGCCCAGACUCCUACGGGAGGCAGCAGUGGGAAAUAUUGCAGAAUGGGCGGGCGCCAGAUGCAGAAGCGCCGCGUGCGGGAUGACGGCUUUCGGGUUGUAAACCGCUUUCGCAUGUGACGAAGCGUGAGUGACGGUAACGGGUAAAGAAGCACCGGCUAACUACGUG